Molecule: ribosomal RNA, 465 nt
Filed under: uncultured bacterium
Lineage: Bacteria
Description: partial 16S ribosomal RNA
Rfam family: Bacterial small subunit ribosomal RNA
Source: RNAcentral
GAUGAACGCUGGCGGCGUGCUUAACACAUGCAAGUCGAACGGAAAGGCUCCUGCUUGCAGGGGUACUCGAGUGGCGAACGGGUGAGUAACACGUGGGUGAUCUGCCCUGCACUUCGGGAUAAGCCUGGGAAACUGGGUCUAAUACCGGAUAGGACGAUGGUUUGGAUGCCAUUGUGGAAAGUUUUUCGGUGUGGGAUGAGCUCGCGGCCUAUCAGCUUGUUGGUGGGGUAAUGGCCUACCAAGGCGUCGACGGGUAGCCGGCCUGAGAGGGUGUACGGCCACAUUGGGACUGAGAUACGGCCCAGACUGCUACGGGAGGCAGCAGUGGGGAAUAUUGCACAAUGGGCGGAAGCCUGAUGCAGCGACGCCGCGUGGGGGAUGACGGCCUUCGGGUUGUAAACUCCUUUCGCUAGGGACGAAGCGCAAGUGACGGUACCUGGAGAAGAAGCACCGGCUAACUACGUG